This 771-nucleotide long non-coding RNA is filed under the name Solanum tuberosum (potato). Its description in RNAcentral is "long non-coding RNA (STUB_LNC006551)". Lineage: Eukaryota; Viridiplantae; Streptophyta; Magnoliopsida; Solanales; Solanaceae. The record is from RNAcentral.
GACGAAUACAUCACAAGAAGGGGAAUACAAAAUUAUUGGUAUUCAUUCUGCGUUUGAUAUACAAAAUGAUAUUGAAAUACAACCUGAUAUUUGAAAUACAAACUUAGUAAGACAUAUUUUGUAUUUUAUUUGGCUAAAGCAAUAUAAUUUUAUGAAUACAUACUAUAUAAAAUUGUGCGACGAAUACAUCACAAGAAGGGGAAUACAAAAUUAUUGGUAUUCAUUCUGCGUUUGAUAUACAAAAUGAUAUUGAAAUACAACCUGAUAUUUGAAAUACAAACUUAGUAAGACAUAUUUUGUAUUUUAUUUGGCUAAAGCAAUAUAAUUUUAUGAAUACAUACUAUAUAAAAUUGUGCGACGAAUACAUCACAAGAAGGGGAAUACAAAAUUAUUGGUAUUCAUUCUGCGUUUGAUAUACAAAAUGAUAUUGAAAUACAACCUGAUAUUUGAAAUACAAACUUAGUAAGACAUAUUUUGUAUUUUAUUUGGCUAAAGCAAUAUAAUUUUAUGAAUACAUACUAUAUAAAAUUGUGCGACGAAUACAUCACAAGAAGGGGAAUACAAAAUUAUUGGUAUUCAUUCUGCGUUUGAUAUACAAAAUGAUAUUGAAAUACAACCUGAUAUUUGAAAUAAAAACUAAGCUAGAAAAUACUUUCUGCAAAUUUAAAGUGAAAUAAUAAUAUAACAAAAUUGGAUAUUGAAAUAUAAAUACAAUUUAUUUUGAAUAAACUUAUUCUAUGUAUUAUAUAUGUAUUCAUCGCAACUGUAUUU